Molecule: long non-coding RNA, 216 nt
Filed under: Ricinus communis (castor bean)
Lineage: Eukaryota; Viridiplantae; Streptophyta; Magnoliopsida; Malpighiales; Euphorbiaceae
Description: long non-coding RNA (RCOM_LNC002633)
Source: RNAcentral
UGCGUCUUCGUUUCUUGACAGUAUUUGCGGCAUUUCUUUUUUGUUUUCUCCUUAUAGCAUUUUUCACAAGAACAGACACUUAGGAUUUAUAUGUAUUGCACUUUUUGUGUUGUCAAUUUUAGUAGGGUUAGGGUUUCUUGAUUUGUUCUUUUCCUAUUUAUAUAUGGAAUUCUCUACGGAAGAGAAAAAGAAAAAGAAAUCAAAGAUUCAAGAAGC